GACGAACGCUGGCGGCGUGCUUAACACAUGCAAGUCGAACGAUGAACCCGGAGCUUGCUCCGGCGGAUUAGUGGCGAACGGGUGAGUAACACGUGAGUAACCUGCCGUUGACUCUGGGAUAACUGCUAGAAAUGGUAGAUAAUACCGGAUACGACCCUCGGUGGCAUCACCAGGGGGUGGAAAGAAAUUCGGCGAAGGAUAGACUCGCGGCCUAUCAGCUAGGUGGUGAGGUAACGGCUCACCAAGGCGACGACGGGUAGCCGGCCUGAGAGGGUGACCGGCCACGCUGGGACUGAGACACGGCCCAGACUCCUACGGGAGGCAGCAGUGGGGAAUAUUGCACAAUGGGCGCAAGCCUGAUGCAGCAACGCCGCGUGAGGGAUGACGGCCUUCGGGUUGUAAACCUCUUUUAGUAGGGAAGAAGCGAAAGUGACGGUACCUGCAGAAAAAGCACCGGCUAACUACGUGCCAGCCGCCGCAGUAA
Molecule: ribosomal RNA, 484 nt
Filed under: uncultured bacterium
Lineage: Bacteria
Description: partial 16S ribosomal RNA
Rfam family: Bacterial small subunit ribosomal RNA
Source: RNAcentral